GUCGGCCUACGGGAGGCAGCAGUGGGGAAUAUUGCACAAUGGGCGCAAGCCUGAACCAGCCACGUCGCGUGAGGGAUGGCGGCCCUACGGGUUGUAAACCUCUUUUGUCGGGGAGCAAGACCCGCCACGAGUGGCGGAGCGAGAGUACCCGAAGAAAAAGCAUCGGCUAACUCCGUGCCAGCAGCCGCGGUAAUACGGAGGAUGCGAGCGUUAUCCGGAUUUAUUGGGUUUAAAGAGUGCGCAGGCGGACCAUCAAGUCAGCGGGAAAAUCGUGGGGCCCAACCCCAUCCCGCCGUUGAAACUGG
This 305-nucleotide ribosomal RNA is filed under the name uncultured bacterium. RNAcentral's name for it is "bacterial SSU rRNA". It matches the Rfam family "Bacterial small subunit ribosomal RNA", at positions 330 to 636 of the family's 1533-position model. The record is from RNAcentral.